GACGAACGCUGGCGGCGUGCUUAGCACAUGCAAAUCGAACGGAAAGGCCCUGCUUUUGUGGGGUGCUCGAGUGGCGAACGGGUGAGUAACACGUGAGUAACCUGCCCUUGACUUUGGGAUAACUUCAGGAAACUGGGGCUAAUACCGGAUAGGAGCUCCUGCUGCAUGGUGGGGGUUGGAAAGUUUCGGCGGUUGGGGAUGGACUCGCGGCUUAUCAGCUUGUUGGUGGGGUAGUGGCUUACCAAGGCUUUGACGGGUAGCCGGCCUGAGAGGGUGACCGGCCACAUUGGGACUGAGAUACGGCCCAGACUCCUACGGGAGGCAGCAGUGGGGAAUAUUGCACAAUGGGCGGAAGCCUGAUGCAGCAACGCCGCGUGCGGGAUGACGGCCUUCGGGUUGUAAACCGCUUUCGCCUGUGACGAAGCGUGAGUGACGGUAAUGGGUAAAGAAGCACCGGCUAACUACGUG
RNAcentral lists this ribosomal RNA (468 nucleotides) under uncultured bacterium. RNAcentral describes it as "partial 16S ribosomal RNA". It matches the Rfam family "Bacterial small subunit ribosomal RNA", at positions 28 to 507 of the family's 1533-position model. The record is from RNAcentral.